UACAGAGGGGGCAAGCGUUGUUCGGAAUUACUGGGCGUAAAGGGCGCGUAGGCGGCCUGCUAAGUCGAACGUGAAAUCCCCGGGCUUAACCCGGGAACUGCGUCCGAUACUGGUUGGCUUGAAUUCGGGAGAGGGAUGCGGAAUUCCAGGUGUAGCGGUGAAAUGCGCAGAUAUCAGGAGGAACACCGAUGGCGAAGGCAGCUUGCUACACAAUCAUUGACACUGAGGCACGAAAGCGUGGGGAUCAAACAGG
Molecule: ribosomal RNA, 253 nt
Filed under: uncultured bacterium
Lineage: Bacteria
Description: partial 16S ribosomal RNA
Rfam family: Bacterial small subunit ribosomal RNA
Source: RNAcentral